CAGUCGCCGCGGGAAUACGGAGGAUCCAAGCGUUAUCCGGAAUCAUUGGGUUUAAAGGGUCCGUAGGCGGUCUUGUAAGUCAGUGGUGAAAGCCCAUCGCUCAACGGUGGAACGGCCAUUGAUACUGCAGGACUUGAAUUAUUGGGAAGUAACUAGAAUAUGUAGUGUAGCGGUGAAAUGCUUAGAGAUUACAUGGAAUACCAAUUGCGAAGGCAGGUUACUACCAAUUGAUUGACGCUGAUGGACGAAAGCGUGGGUAGCGAACAGGAUUAGAUACCCCCGUAGUCCUGUCUCUUAUACA
This 301-nucleotide ribosomal RNA is filed under the name uncultured bacterium. Its description in RNAcentral is "partial 16S ribosomal RNA". It matches the Rfam family "Bacterial small subunit ribosomal RNA", at positions 509 to 809 of the family's 1533-position model. The record is from RNAcentral.